RNAcentral lists this ribosomal RNA (250 nucleotides) under uncultured bacterium. RNAcentral's name for it is "partial 16S ribosomal RNA". It matches the Rfam family "Bacterial small subunit ribosomal RNA", at positions 524 to 773 of the family's 1533-position model. The record is from RNAcentral.
UACAGAGGGUGCAAGCGUUGUUCGGAAUUACUGGGCGUAAAGCGCGUGUAGGCGGCAUCGUAAGUCAGGUGUGAAAUCCCUCGGCUCAACCGAGGACGUGCAUCUGAAACUGCGAAGCUUGAGUAUCGGAGGGGGUGGCGGAAUUCCCGGUGUAGAGGUGAAAUUCGUAGAUAUCGGGAGGAACACCUGUGGCGAAGGCGGCCACCUGGACGAUAACUGACGCUGAGACGCGAAAGCGUGGGGAGCAAAC